Molecule: ribosomal RNA, 116 nt
Filed under: Yersinia enterocolitica (type O:5,27) str. YE149/02
Lineage: Bacteria; Pseudomonadati; Pseudomonadota; Gammaproteobacteria; Enterobacterales; Yersiniaceae
Source: RNAcentral
GACCCACCUGAAUCCAUGCCGAACUCAGAAGUGAAACGCCGUAGCGCCGAUGGUAGUGUGGGGUCUCCCCAUGCGAGAGUAGGACACUGCCAGGCAUCAAACACGAGUUAUCAGAA